AAUGAAGUGCCUGAUUAAAGGACUAUUUUGAUAGAAUAGAUUAUGUAAGAUUUACCUUCAUUA
RNAcentral lists this transfer RNA (63 nucleotides) under Brachygluta helferi. Its description in RNAcentral is "tRNA-Ile". Lineage: Eukaryota; Metazoa; Arthropoda; Insecta; Coleoptera; Staphylinidae. The record is from RNAcentral.